CCUACGGGAGGCAGCAGUAGGGAAUCUUCCACAAUGGACGCAAGUCUGAUGGAGCAACGCCGCGUGAGUGAAGAAGGGUUUCGGCUCGUAAAGCUCUGUUGUUAAAGAAGAACGUGGGUGAGAGUAACUGUUCACCCAGUGACGGUAUUUAACCAGAAAGCCACGGCUAACUACGUGCCAGCAGCCGCGCCUACGGGAGGCAGCAGUAGGGAAUCUUCCACAAUGGACGCAAGUCUGAUGGAGCAACGCCGCGUGAGUGAAGAAGGGUUUCGGCUCGUAAAGCUCUGUUGUUAAAGAAGAACGUGGGUGAGAGUAACUGUUCACCCAGUGACGGUAUUUAACCAGAAAGCCACGGCUAACUACUUCCAGCAGCCGCGGUAAU
RNAcentral lists this ribosomal RNA (382 nucleotides) under uncultured Pediococcus sp. RNAcentral's name for it is "bacterial SSU rRNA". The stretch from base 1 to 203 matches the Rfam family "Bacterial small subunit ribosomal RNA", at positions 338 to 537 of the family's 1533-position model. The record is from RNAcentral. Lineage: Bacteria; Bacillati; Bacillota; Bacilli; Lactobacillales; Lactobacillaceae.